AGGGUUUGAUUCUGGCUCAGGAUGAACGCUGGCGGCGUGCUUAACACAUGCAAGUCGAACGGGAUCCAUCGGGCUUUGCCUGGUGGUGAGAGUGGCGAACGGGUGAGUAAUGCGUGACCGACCUGCCCCAUGCACCGGAAUAGCUCCUGGAAACGGGUGGUAAUGCCGGAUGCUCCAUCACACCGCAUGGUGUGUUGGGAAAGCCUUUGCGGCAUGGGAUGGGGUCGCGUCCUAUCAGCUUGAUGGCGGGGUAACGGCCCACCAUGGCUUCGACGGGUAGCCGGCCUGAGAGGGCGACCGGCCACAUUGGGACUGAGAUACGGCCCAG
Molecule: ribosomal RNA, 328 nt
Filed under: uncultured bacterium
Lineage: Bacteria
Description: bacterial SSU rRNA
Rfam family: Bacterial small subunit ribosomal RNA
Source: RNAcentral